Molecule: non-coding RNA, 2385 nt
Organism: Peromyscus maniculatus bairdii (prairie deer mouse)
Lineage: Eukaryota; Metazoa; Chordata; Mammalia; Rodentia; Cricetidae
Source: RefSeq, a predicted model, not a curated record
UGGUCAUGGUGUCUCUUCACAGCAAUAAAACCCUAACUAAGACACUGGGAUACUUAGCAAGACUGUCUCAAAAAUGAAAAAAACAAAAAAACAACCUACAAAUAAAAUAUUGUGGAACUAUUCUUCUUCCAUCAGGUGUUUUCUUGGACAGUGGAUUCUGUCAGGUCAAAACAAGUCUGCAGUUUGGGGGAGUUGAAAAGAGGUGCUGAGGUAUCCUUGAAAAGGUUAGCAGGAGUGCUGUGAGGUGGUUGUCUCUCCAGUUCUGCUUUAGUGAAGCUGCAUCCUCCUCCUUGGAGUCCUCUUCUCCUCAGGGCGGCUGCCUGCCACUGGGUCUCCUGUCUGCUCUGACUUGCGCGUGUCGCUGCCUGGCCGAUGUCAUCCUCACAGACAUGUGCUCCUAAGCUGUGGUUUGGAAAAGCUAGGAGGCUCCAGGUUGCACAGCCCAUGGCGAACCCGGAGCAUGAACCCCUGAGUGAGACCCAGGAGUGCUGACCAGGACAUGGGUGUCUCUAGCGGGUCGUACCUUGUGCGUUUUCUAACGAAUAUUCUUUCAGUGCCUGUCUGUUUCGAGAUGAGAAGAUAAACGCUGUGAGGGAAGGGUGGGAAGGCAGUAAGCACCCUAAUUUUUCCUAUUUUUAGAAGAAAACCAAAGCCCUGUAGUUCACUGCACUCUCUGGUUUUUGUCCAGUUGUAACAAUCUAGAGUCAGCUGGGAAGACUGGAAACCUCCGGGGAGGAACUUCCUCCAUCAGAUCAUCCUGUGGCCAUGUCUGUGGGGGUAUUCUCUUGAUUAGUGAUGGAUGUGGGUGGGCCCAGCCUGCUAUGAAGGGUGCCACCUCUGGGCAGGUGGACCUGCAUUAUAUAGGAAAGCAAGUCACCAGGCUUGUGGAGGCAGAAACAGGCAGAUCUCUGUGAGUUUGAGGUAAGCCUAAUCUACAGAAUAAGUUUCAAGAGUGCAUAGAGAGACCUUGUCUCCCUCGCUGCCUCCCCCCAACCCCCCCAAAAAAGGCAGGCUGAGCAAACCAUGGAAAGCAAGCCAGUAAGCAGCAUUCCUCCAGGGUUCCUGCCUCUGCUCCAGCUUGAGUUCCUGACUUGACUUUCCUUAAUGAUGAAUGUGAUGUGGAAAUGUAAGCAAAAUAAAAACCCUUUCCUCCCCAACUUGCUUCUAGUCAUGGCAUAUUUCACAGCAAGGGUAUAUUGGUUAUCUUUUGUUACCCAAGCCCGUGAAAACUAACUCAGGUUUAAAAUUAAUCAGUGUGGUUGUGGUUUGUUUCUCUCUUUCUCUCUCUCUCUCUCUCUCUCUCUCUCUCUCUCUCUCUCUCUCUCUCUCUCUGUCUAAGUGACUGAUAACAAUUCAGACAGGCUCAAACAACAAUGGGCUGCGUCUGUCAGCAUGCUGUUUAGUCCUUCUAAAUAUGAUGCAGGAACGUUGUGAGACUUGGUGGGAGACCGGCUUGGACCAGCUGAUGUGUCCUAGUACUCGGCAGCCAGGCCUCUCAGAGCAGGGUUUAUUCUUCUUGGAGCGUUCAUGUGGAGUUAGGCAACCCAGAAGGGGACAAUGCUGUGCUUUUCUCUUUCAUUCCCAGAGUCUAGAGCAGUGGCAGGUACCCGAGGGCGUUCUAGCUUCAAGACUGUUUUCAUUUCAUUUCAUUUUACUUUUGGUUAUUUUUUAAAUUAGUGUAUAGAACAGUGAGUUUCAUGUGACAUUUUCUAUGCCCUUUAUCUGUCCCCUCUCACUCUCCACCUGUUCUCCUGGCCCGCUUUCUCAAACACUCCUCACCCUUCAUUUCUGCUUCUUUUUAUUUUCUUCUUUUGUAACGUAUAUUCCAUUCCCUACUAUUGUCUGGUGUGUUUCCCCAGAUCUACUCGUCCCCUCGCUUGGUCCCCUUCCUAGUUUCAUGACCUUUCCUCCUUCUCUACACACACAGAGAAAUGGAAGCUCGGGUCUUCGUCUACAGAAAACAAGAGGUGUGUGUCUUUCUAAAUCUGGGUUAUUUUCACUUUAAUAUAAUAAUUUCCAGCUCCAUCCAUUUUCCUGUAAAGCGCUUUCUUUUUUAAUUUAAGGCCGAAUAAAAUUCCAUUGGGUUUAUGUACCGCUUUUUCUUUACUCUUUCACUGAUGGCCAUUUGGGCUGGUUCCCUUUUCUAGAUGCUGUGUAUAACAUGAUGUAAACAUGAAUGUCCAUGGGUCUUUGUAGUGGCUAUCUGCUCUAUGACCCUGAAGCACAGCCCUAGAGCAAUUAGCAGACUUGGAUGCUGGGAUAGCCUCAGUCCUGUAAGAACAGCGUGGGACCGUGCCUCACCUUUUCCAGGACACUGCGACAAUCCAACAAUUUCUAUGUUCUGUCUUGUGAGUUUUCCUUUCUUAAUAAAUCCAUUUGUCCUUU